This 38-nucleotide non-coding RNA is filed under the name Apocalathium aciculiferum. The record is from RNAcentral. Lineage: Eukaryota; Dinophyceae; Thoracosphaerales; Thoracosphaeraceae.
GGAAUGCAGCAGCGGCGAGGAGGCCGGCGCAGGUGUUG